RNAcentral lists this unclassified non-coding RNA (448 nucleotides) under Hevea brasiliensis (rubber tree). Lineage: Eukaryota; Viridiplantae; Streptophyta; Magnoliopsida; Malpighiales; Euphorbiaceae. The record is from RNAcentral.
GGGCGGCAUGAUGCAAGACAUGGACAAUCUGUCGGAGGCGGACAAGGCAAGGAUGGCCUCCAUGAUCGAUCAGCUCCAGAUCCGGGACAGUUUGAGAAUGUAUAAUUCACUGGUGGAGAGAUGCUUCACCGAUUGCGUGGAGUCGUUCCGUCGUAAGACCCUUGACAAGCAGGAAGAGACUUGUGUCCGCAGGUGCGCUGAGAAGUUUCUGAAGCACUCGAUGAGGGUUGGCAUGAGAUUUGCGGAGCUCAACCAGGGAGCGGCCACUCCAGAUUCUUGAUCAUCGAUAUACACCGGUUGCAGUCUCUCGACCCUUUGAAGCUUUUACUGUACCAGUUUUCAUUUCUCUAUGCACCAGGAGUAGAAAAUGGUUCAAAGAUGUUUUGAUUAUGUUAUUCCGAAAUAAUGAGUUUGACGAUUUUCGUAAAGGUUGUUUGGAUUUUAGCGC